ACGCUGGCGGCAGGCCUAACACAUGCAAGUCGAGCGGUAGAGAGAAGCUUGCUUCUCUUGAGAGCGGCGGACGGGUGAGUAAUGCCUAGGAAUCUGCCUGGUAGUGGGGGAUAACGUUCGGAAACGGACGCUAAUACCGCAUACGUCCUACGGGAGAAAGCAGGGGACCUUCGGGCCUUGCGCUAUCAGAUGAGCCUAGGUCGGAUUAGCUAGUUGGUGGGGUAAUGGCUCACCAAGGCGACGAUCCGUAACUGGUCUGAGAGGAUGAUCAGUCACACUGGAACUGAGACACGGUCCAGACUCCUACGGGAGGCAGCAGUGGGGAAUAUUGGACAAUGGGCGAAAGCCUGAUCCAGCCAUGCCGCGUGUGUGAAGAAGGUCUUCGGACUGUAAAGCACUUUAAGUUGGGAGGAAGGGCAGUUACCUAAUACGUGAUUGUUUUGACGUUACCGACAGAAUAAGCACCGGCUAACUCUGUGCCAGCAGCCGCGGUAAUACAGAGGGUGCAAGCGUUAAUCGGAAUUACUGGGCGUAAAGCGCGCGUAGGUGGUUCGUUAAGUUGGAUGUGAAAUCCCCGGGCUCAACCUGGGAACUGCAUUCAAAACUGACGAGCUAGAGUAUGGUAGAGGGUGGUGGAAUUUCCUGUGUAGCGGUGAAAUGCGUAGAUAUAGGAAGGAACGCCAGUGGCGAAGGCGACCACCUGGACUGAUACUGACACUGAGGUGCGAAAGCGUGGGGAGCAAAC
RNAcentral lists this ribosomal RNA (745 nucleotides) under uncultured bacterium. RNAcentral describes it as "bacterial SSU rRNA". It matches the Rfam family "Bacterial small subunit ribosomal RNA", at positions 33 to 773 of the family's 1533-position model. The record is from RNAcentral.